CCUACGGGGGGCAGCAGUGGGGAAUAUUGGACAAUGGGGGGAACCCUGAUCCAGCCAUGCCGCGUGUGUGAAGAAGGCCCUCGGGUUGUAAAGCACUUUCAGUGAGGAAGAACGCCUGGUGGUUAAUACCCAUCAGGAAAGACAUCACUCACAGAAGAAGCACCGGCUAACUCCGUGCCAGCAGCCGCGGUAAUACGGAGGGUGCGAGCGUUAAUCGGAAUUACUGGGCGUAAAGCGCGCGUAGGUGGCUUGAUAAGCCGGUUGUGAAAGCCCCGGGCUCAACCUGGGAACGGCAUCCGGAACUGUCAAGCUAGAGUGCAGGAGAGGAAGGUAGAAUUCCCGGUGUAGCGGUGAAAUGCGUAGAGAUCGGGAGGAAUACCAGUGGCGAAGGCGGCCUUCUGGACUGACACUGACACUGAGGUGCGAAAGCGUGGGUAGCAAACAGGAUGAGAUACCCUGGUAGUC
Molecule: ribosomal RNA, 465 nt
Filed under: Vreelandella stevensii
Lineage: Bacteria; Pseudomonadati; Pseudomonadota; Gammaproteobacteria; Oceanospirillales; Halomonadaceae
Description: partial 16S ribosomal RNA
Rfam family: Bacterial small subunit ribosomal RNA
Source: RNAcentral